Molecule: ribosomal RNA, 628 nt
Filed under: uncultured bacterium
Lineage: Bacteria
Description: bacterial SSU rRNA
Rfam family: Bacterial small subunit ribosomal RNA
Source: RNAcentral
AGAGUUUGAUCAUGGCUCAGAAUGAACGCUGGCGGCGUGCUUAACACAUGCAAGUCGAACGAGAAACCCCGGCUUGCCGGGGGAGUAAAGUGGCGCACGGGUGAGUAACGCGUGGGUAAUCUACCCUCGAAUUGGGGAUAACCCGCCGAAAGGCGGGCUAAUACCGAAUAAGACCACGGUGGUUUCGGCCACUGAGGUCAAAGAUGGCCUCUGCUUGCAAGCUGUCGUUUGAGGAUGAGCCCGCGUCCCAUUAGCUAGUUGGUGGGGUAAAAGCCUACCAAGGCGACGAUGGGUAGCUGGUCUGAGAGGAUGGCCAGCCACACUGGAACUGACACACGGUCCAGACUCCUACGGGAGGCAGCAGUGAGGAAUUUUGCGCAAUGGGGGAAACCCUGACGCAGCAACGCCGCGUGAGUGAUGAAGGCCUUCGGGUUGUAAAGCUCUGUCGAGUGGGAAGAAUUUUUUUCGGCUGAAUAAUCCGAAAAAUUGACGGUACCGCUGAAGGAAGCACCGGCUAACUCCGUGCCAGCAGCCACGGUAAUACGGAGGGUGCAAGCGUUAUUCGGAUUUAUUGGGCGUAAAGGGCGUGUAGGCGGUUUGAAUAGUCAGGUGUGAAAGCCCUUGGCUU